RNAcentral lists this long non-coding RNA (716 nucleotides) under Chinchilla lanigera (long-tailed chinchilla). Its description in RNAcentral is "lncRNA (ENSCLAG00000024940.1)". The record is from RNAcentral. Lineage: Eukaryota; Metazoa; Chordata; Mammalia; Rodentia; Chinchillidae.
CUUGGGUGUUCUGGAGCCAUGGGCAGCUGUGGGGUCUUUAGCUAUUCGUUCCUCCACAGAGCUGAGAAGUUCACAGGAAGACACAGCCUGUAGGUUUGUUUGGUCAUCCAUUUGUUUCCAUGGUGGCUGCUGACAUCUGUCCCUUAGCAUAUGCCAGACUGUCGGGCUGAUCCCCUGGCCUCUUACAAUGAACUGUCCAGUGGGAAAUACUAAUAGUUACGACUGUGGAAGCAUAAUGGAAGGUGCUGUGGGAACACAGAUUCUACUCGCUCCUACUCCCUGUCAAGCGUUAACUCUUAGCCACGUUCUUCCGCACUCAACAGACAGCACACAGCACUGGAAUCAUUACUACACGCUGCAGGAAGGACCCUUUACCAGCCCACAGCACUGUAAUCCCAUGAACUUGUUCAGCGUGGCCGACCCCAGCUAGGGAUGCGCAGUAAAGGCAGAAGACCUACUCCCUAGCUCGGCUCACUAAACUGUUUACAGCAGUUUGACCAUCAGUUAUUCAGGAAAGCACCGAAGGGUGGUGAUGCAACGCUGUGAAAAACUUGACAGAAGUAAAGAUAGUUAGGCAGCAGGGACCAUUGUCAUUUGAGUGAGCCUGCUGAUGGCUGCUAGGAAUUUAUAUACAAAUACUUUUCCCUAAAAGUUGAAAAUAAAAAAGGGAAAUGUGUUGAAAUGCAUUUGUUACAUCUAGAGAGCCCAAACACGCG